This is a long non-coding RNA of Ictalurus furcatus (blue catfish), 4238 nucleotides long. RefSeq lists it as uncharacterized. The transcript is spliced from 3 exons. The record is from RefSeq and is a predicted model, not a curated record. Lineage: Eukaryota; Metazoa; Chordata; Actinopteri; Siluriformes; Ictaluridae.
GGAAGCAGGAAGUAGCGCAAACAACAUGGGGACUGGGAUUGACAAGAAGCCGGCGAUUUCUUUACCUAAACACUCCUACUGGUUCGACUUUUGGGUGUUUCUGUUGUUCGACAUCGGCUUUUUUCUCUUCGUGUACUUUGUUAUUCCAUAAACGAAAUCUGGGUGUUACGGAAGGACCAGAGAGUGUAGCUUCACCUGCAUGAGAUGAAGAGAUGAUGGGUACUUUUGCAGCUUUCUCAUGGCUGGGUCCUGCAGCUGUGGCUUCAGCCGAUCUCCUCCUGCACACCCGUCACCCGAACACUGAAAGUGCACCACCACCACGUCCCCGCCGAGUCCGACCCUCGUCGAGUCCAACCCUCACAGAGUCCAACGCACUUUAAAACAUAGAGCUAACAUUCCAGUCCAGGCCCUGAUCCCUCGUACAGAACCCCGAUUAACAUGAAAUAAAACCGGCCAAGCGAUUUUUGUAUAUUUGACCUGGUAAUAAUCAGAAUGUCUGCGUGUGUGUGAAUGAGAAGUAAAUAAAAUUCACUAAGCUAUUUUUCAACUUUGUGUGGAAAGUAUGUUCUUUCAUCUUUUUAUAUUCUUGAGGUAUUCACAUUGAAGGAUAGAUUGUGUGGCAGACAGAUAAAAGACACUAAAUAUAUUUCAGAUAUAUUUGUAUCUAUAGUCCUUAUUGGCCUUGCUCCGUAGGAUGUGUUACUGUACAUUCUCUCUCACACACACACACACACACACACGCUGUACUGUGAAGUCGCCAGUAGGCGUUCCUACUAUUGGUUGCCGUAGUAACAUUGAUCAGUGGGCACGAUGGCUUAGCGGUUAGCACGUUCGCCGCACACUGAUAUCCGCACCCGCCGCUGUCCUGUGUGUGUGUGUGUGUGUGUGUGUGUGUGCGCGCGCGCGCGGGGUUUGUAUGUUCUCCCCAUGCCGUGGGGGUUUCCUCCGGGUACUCCGGUUUCCUCCCCCAGUCUAAAGACAUGCAGGGUAGGCUGAUUGGCAUGUCCAAAGUAUCCGUAGUGUAUGAAUGUGUAUGCGAGUGUGCACUGCGAUGGAUUUGCGCGCUGUCCAGGAUGUAACCUGCCUUGUGCCCUAUGCCUCCUGGGAUAGGCUCCAGGUUCCCCACGAGCCUGUAGGAUAAGCAGUAUAGAAAAUAGAUGGAUGGAAUAAUAAUAAUAAUAAUAAUGAACUCAGUACAUGUUUUAUAGCAAGAAAAAUUUGGCAGUUUUAUGAUUCCACACACACACAAAAGACAGACAUAUAUAUUGCCUUCAAUUACAUCCUACCCUUUACCCUUUCAACCGGAGAUAUCCGCUGCACAGCUAAAAGUGAUCUAAAGUGCCUGUUGUUGUGACCUAUCGUCUCGUCUGGAGUUGAUUUCCUCUUACUGGCCACGAGGAGUUUGAACCUGAACGACUGCCAGACAUUCGGAGGAGACAAAUGGGUCAGAGAGAUCAGAACAUGGAAGUAUAGUGCGACGCUCUGUUCCAUCGUGAUCUGUGCCAGCAAAAGGGGGGGGCGGGCGGGGCUCUCUUACACUGUGAGCGUUUUGGCUUUUUCUUCAGUGCUCAGAGGUUCAGCAGGUCUGGGUUUCUGAAGUACAUGAUCAAUGGCUUUUCCUCAGGCUGCCUGUGGGCGACGUGGAGAAAGAGAUGCGGGAAAGUUUUGUGUUUGCUUGUAUAAAGCGUGCGCUGAUGCCCAGUGGACACACAGGAGGUGCUUUUUUUGACCCUUCUGCCAACUAGUUCCGCACGAGUUCCUCACACCAAUGCCAAGUGAGCAGCACAUGAAGAGUGGCCAUCAUUGCAUGUUUAUUCAUGGUUCGGUCCGACACUCUGCUCAGACCCCAGGGUCCUGCACACCACUGGCUCUGAGGCAGUCCAGGGAUUUAAAGUUCCAGCUUUCUGGUCACUACUGCAGAAUGGUGACCUCUGAGCUAGCGCUGGGAUAAGAGUUCUCUCAUUGUGAAGUUUCCUGCUCGAACACACAUCGUUUCCAAUGUUUUUCCUUUUCUUUAGUUUCUGUUUUGUUUUUUCUUUUCAUUUUACCGAUUUUUCCUUCAUUUUCUUCUGGGGUUUUUUUUUUUUUUUUUUUUUUAGUAGUUCAUGUUCUUUUUGCUUUUUCCUCCCCUUUGGUUCCUGUCUUUUCUCUUUUUCUUUUUUCUUGGUCCUGAUUUUUAAAUUUUUUCCUGUCUUUUCUUAUUUCUUAAAUUUUUUCUUUCCAAUUUUUCCAUUUUUCUUUCUUGGCUGUUAUUUUCCUGCCUUUCUUGACUUCCUACCCUUUUAUUCUUGUUGUUUUCUUUCCCUUUUCAUUCUUUCAAUUGUUUCAUUCUUUUUUUCUUUCUUUUCUGGGUUUUGUUGUUUUUUUUUCUUUCAUUUUACUCAUUUUCCAUUCAUUUUUUCUGGGUUUAUUUUUUGGGUAAUUUCUGUUGUUCCUUUUCUUUUUCUUUUGUUCUUAUUUUCCAUGUUUAUUUAUUUACUGUUUUUCCCUUUUCUUUUCUUUUUUUGGUCCUGUUUUUUCCCUUCCUUGAUCUUUUGUCAUUCCUUUCCCCCUUUUCAGUUUUUCCCUUGCUCUGUUUUUUUUUCUGUCCUGUUCUGAUUUGUUCUUUUUUCCUGUCAUUACUGGGUUUUCUUCCCUUUUCUAUUUUUUCUGGAUUUAUUUUAUUUUUUUGUUUUUCCUUCUGUUUUUUUAUCGGUUUAUUUGCUGUUUCAAGUCCUUCUUUGCGUUUUUUGUUUUUCUUUCCUGUCUUUUCUUUUUCCUCUUUUUGUUUUUAUCUUUUGUCUGUUCCUUUUCUUUCUCUCUUGUCUUUGUUCUCGUCCAUCUGCCCCUCCCUCCCUCCCAUUUUAUACACUGAUCUUCUUCUCUCUCUUAUUCCUCAACCAACAUUUCUUUCAUUCCUUCUUCCUACAGAAUGGUCAUACCUUCAUAACUCCAUGCAGUGACCAUGCCCCGUUCUGUAGACUGGAAGUGUCACUUUUCACUGGUUCUGGCCUCACUGAGUGUCUUCUCAGGAAGAUGUUCACAGAUCAGGACUGUCCAUCACACCAACUAUCUUAUUAUUGUACACUAUAUUCCAUGAGAUUUAGGUGAAAGGAGCAGAAAUGAAGAAUAAUCCUGUACUAAUGGCAGCACCAGGAACACUUUAUUUAUUCAUUUGACUCAUGUUUCUAUUCAGAGCAGUGACGCAGAACCCCACAAACCUGACAUUAAAAGCCUUCCUUACUCAAGAGCCCAGCUGAGGUUCAUGUGGCAGCCAUGUGACCUGAGCUCACAACCUUCCGGUCCUUUCCCUGAGCUACCACUGCCCUAAUGAGAUCCGACACGUUUCACCUCCCGAGUGAGAGAAAUCCCAGACUCUCGGCUCAAACUGUAAUUACGUCAACCGGGCCUGAGUCAUCGUCACCUGCGAGGAUCAGUGGGACUCAUAAGGCUCGGGAGUUUACAGCACGUUCCACUAGAACCAUUAAAACCAGCGCAGGUCAUUUUAAUAGCUGGACGUCUGUUAGGAUUCCGAGAUUAAAGGAGUUGGAGAGCAUGUUUUUGCGUUCGCUCCUGCCAUGAGAAGCGGUCGUUACGGAGCGCUCGAGCCAGGCAAUGAGCUGUGCACCGCUGUGUUUUCUUUCCACCCGGCGCGUGUGCGAGAUCUUUUCCAAAACACACUCGCAUUUGGCUCAAGAAAAGAAAAAAAAGUGAAGGCUGAGUGAAACUGGUGGUUUUGGUGUGUUCAGGAAAAAAGCUCUGUCUUUUACAGGACCUCUAUGACCUCACUGUGUCUUUAUACACUACUGUCAGUCCACACACACACACACAAUAAAGAACAUUUAAAAAAAAAAAAAGAAUUAAAAAAAGAAUCAAAUACAUGUCAUUUUUCUUAAAUUUCUAUUUUCCCCACAUACUUUCCUUACUUUCUUUCCUGUUUUUGCACUGUUUUCUUUAUUUCCUGUUGUUCCUUUUUUUUUAUUUAAUUCCUUCUUUACUACAAUUUCUUUUUCCCCAUUUUAUCUUUCAUGUUUUCCUUUUUUCCCCCUGUAUUUCCUGAUUUUCUUUCCUUUUUCUAUUUUCCCUCUUUUCUUUCUUUCCUGUCUUUCAUUCUUUUUAUCUGUCCUGCUUUAUUCCUUUCAUUCUUUUAACGUACUGUUUUAUUCCUUUUGCUUUAUUUCCAGAUUUGUCCCUUUUUUUCUUCCUGUUUUUUUCUUUCCUUUUUCCUUAAUUUUUCCAUCCUUCCCUCCCUCCCUCCC